Long non-coding RNA from Portunus trituberculatus (swimming crab), 2098 nucleotides. RefSeq lists it as uncharacterized. Lineage: Eukaryota; Metazoa; Arthropoda; Malacostraca; Decapoda; Portunidae. The record is from RefSeq and is a predicted model, not a curated record. The transcript is spliced from 2 exons.
AGUGCGCGGGUGAGCCAGCCUGCGUGUGGGUGUGCGUGGCUCUACUUCUUCAUCUCGCUGUCUUUCACCAGGGAGCGUGUGCGGCUGAGAUGAAGUGUUGAGAAUUGAGGAGAGACAGAGAGACAGACAGACAGACACACAAGUGGUCUCAGAUGAACGCAGAAGGUGGCGAGAAAGAACAACAAGAACAACAGGAACAACAACAACAACAACAACAACAACUUGGCGAGGCUAAGAGAGUGAGUCGGAAAAGAAUGGACAAACUUAUAAUAGUCACACACUAUAAGAAGCGAAAGAGGUAAACAUUCCAUUAAUCCUCUUACUCCUCUUCCUCUUCUUCCUCUUCCAAUCUCCCACUUCACUCCUUCUUCCUAGUGACUCUGGCCAACACUGUAGAACUGUAGGAAUGACCACUGGCGUUCUCUUAGCGUGUUCUGUGCAGUGUUGAAGAAAGGCAGUGAUGGACAACUAAGGGCAUUGUCUCCAGACGCUCAAUGAUAUACCUGCUCCAGUGAUGUUUGUUUUAAGAUUUGCACCGUAAUGAAGAGUAAUCGUAUUUUCGUAUCUAUGCACUAAAACUAUGCAGACUUUGAUUAACACUCAUCAGAAACGUGUGAUAUUCCAAAAUACGUAGAAAUUGUAAAGAAGUGAAGCGUUUUUUUCUUUAUGCAAGCGAUACUUAUUAGAAACUUGCACGUGAUACUUCAAAAAAAUACACAGAAAUGAAAGUAUAAAGAUCUGAUCCAAUUUUUUUUUAUAUGCAAACUAAGCUCAUUAGAAACUAUACUCUCAAAAAGUAUCGAGAUGGAAGAAUGAAGUAUUGACACACAUUCUUUUUAUAUGCAAACCAGAAAGUGCCAAAGAUAGAGAAGAUUGUGCAUUUCAUUUUCUAUUGGAAGUUUUUUCAAGCAAAGCGACGCUCUACUGUGGCCUUCUGAACCCGACACCCAGACGUGAUGAGACGUGUAUAACCAAAAGGGGACCCGUGUGUAUAAUAUUUCCUGUAUUUUGUAUAAUUACGUACAGGAAAAUCCCUCCUUUCCCUUCCCCUUUUCCUCUCUCAUGGCUGGAGGAAAAAAAUCACAAAAAAAUCACAAAAAAACAAGAGAACUGAAAGCAAGCGUGAAUCCGAGCCGUAAAACACGUGUUCGAAGCUUCACUAUCAGCAGGGGUUGCGCUUCGGGUUCAGGGCCAUAAGGCGGCGACGCUGCAUCCCAACCUUCGAAACGACAUACGAAACACACACGAAACAUUUUUACCGUCACGCUCCUGCUGUUGUUGUCGGUUCGGAGCAGCGGAACGGAGCAUACAGUGAAGCCUUUUUUUGUAAACCCGUAAUGCUUCGAAACGCUAACUAAAAAAAAAAGCAACAAAAACACGACAAAAAAGCCCUCGUUCUCAUUUUGCGAAUUGCUAGGAAGGCCAAAAACGAAAUUUACUUUGGCAGACUUGAAUGAACCUUCUCUGGCGUUACGAAAACACGGAAGCGGAACCGUCACGAACCUGUUAGUGAGCCAGUUUGCUUCCAACGACGAACGAAACACAAUUUGGAACAUUUUUUGUUAACCUAAACUUUUAAUGUCAAUGAACUCUUCCAGAGCAAAAAGAGAGAAUAAAACCAGCGCUGUGAUGAAAGACAGGAAGAUGCAAUAAGGAAGAUGAUGCGAGUGAAGAGAGAAAAAUAGGAAUAAAAAACAAAAAAAAAAAACGAAGAGCAAAACAAAAGACAAACGAAAUGGCAAGGAGAGUGACAGAAAAGUGACAAGAGAAAAAGGAUGGACUUCAAAAUAUAAAAAAAGGAAAUGGUUUGAAAAUUAGAGAAAAAAACAGGGAAGAGGAAAUGAAGUAAAAGAGAGAGAGAGAGAGAGAGAGAAAAAAGAGAGAAAGAGAGAGAAAGUGAACUGUGAAAUGCAAGAGGAUUAUAGCUCGUGAGGAAUUGGAGGAAACAAGUUCAAGGAAAGAUAAAAAGGAAAAUAUAAAGAAAAUAAGGAAAAAAACUUUGAGGAAACAUUUCUUGACUGUAUGGCUGAUGAAAACGGGACGAGAAAUAUGAGGAGACAUUGAGGAAAAGAGGAAACUUAAACUGAAAUGAAAUAAC